GUUUAUGUAGUUUAAUUAAAACAAAUUAUUUUCAAUAAUUAGAUAAAAAUUUCUUAAACU
RNAcentral lists this transfer RNA (60 nucleotides) under Changeondelphax velitchkovskyi. RNAcentral's name for it is "tRNA-Glu". Lineage: Eukaryota; Metazoa; Arthropoda; Insecta; Hemiptera; Delphacidae. The record is from RNAcentral.